UUGCUGCAAAAGCACGUGUUUGCAGACGAGAAAGGAUAGUUUAUAUUCCAGACAAUGGACGAGUUUCUGAAGUGAAAGUCCAAGGAAGAGAAGACAACGAGAAGUAGCUUUUUUGAUAGUAGCUGUUUCAUGAUUUAUAGGCCUACUGGGGAAACUCGCCACGUAAAAAAACGAGUAACACAUCCAGCUUGGUACCUCUAUGGUGAUGUGGAAAUCCGAGCAUUGUUAAUAAAGAAAUUAAUUCUG
This is a long non-coding RNA of Schistocerca piceifrons (Central American locust), 246 nucleotides long. RefSeq lists it as uncharacterized. The transcript is spliced from 2 exons. Lineage: Eukaryota; Metazoa; Arthropoda; Insecta; Orthoptera; Acrididae. The record is from RefSeq and is a predicted model, not a curated record.